GUGGGCUUGUGUGUGUACCUGAUAGUGUGUGCGCCUGAUAGUGCGUGAGUUGUGUGUGCGCAUGAUAGUGCGUGAGCUGUGUGUGUGCGCAUGAUAGUGUGAGAGCUUGUGUGUGUGUGUGUCAGAGAGCUUGUCUGUAGUGAACUUGUGUGUGUGUGUCAGAGAGCUUGUCUGUAGUGAACUUGUGUGUGUGAGUUUGUAGUGAGCAUGUGUGUGUCACUGAGCUUGUUUGUCAGUGAGCUUAUGUGUAAGCGAUGUGUGUGUCAGCUAGCUUUUCUGUAGUGAGCAUGUGUCUGUAGUGAGUAUGUGUGUCAAUGAGUUUGUCUGUAGUGAGCUUGUGUGUGUCAGUGAG
Molecule: non-coding RNA, 352 nt
Organism: Pelobates cultripes (western spadefoot toad)
Lineage: Eukaryota; Metazoa; Chordata; Amphibia; Anura; Pelobatidae
Source: the annotation of a GenBank genome assembly